This 253-nucleotide ribosomal RNA is filed under the name uncultured bacterium. Its description in RNAcentral is "partial 16S ribosomal RNA". It matches the Rfam family "Bacterial small subunit ribosomal RNA", at positions 524 to 776 of the family's 1533-position model. The record is from RNAcentral.
UACAGAGGGUGCAAGCGUUAAUCGGAAUUACUGGGCGUAAAGCGCACGCAGGCGGUUGGUUAAGUCAGAUCUGAAAGCCCCGGGCUCAACCUGGGAAUUGCAUUUGAAACUGGCCAACUAGAGUACGUGAGAGGGGGGUAGAAUUCCAAGUGUAGCGGUGAAAUGCGUAGAGAUUUGGAGGAAUACCAGUGGCGAAGGCGGCCCCCUGGCACGAUACUGACGCUCAGGUGCGAAAGCGUGGGGAGCAAACAGG